Molecule: ribosomal RNA, 384 nt
Filed under: Enterococcus raffinosus
Lineage: Bacteria; Bacillati; Bacillota; Bacilli; Lactobacillales; Enterococcaceae
Description: bacterial SSU rRNA
Rfam family: Bacterial small subunit ribosomal RNA
Source: RNAcentral
ACCUGGAGGAAGGCGGGGAUGACGUCAAGUCAUCAUGCCCCUUAUGUCUUGGGCUACACACGUACUACAAUGGUCGGAAACAGAGGGAAGCGAAGCCGCGAGGCAGAGCAAACCCCAGAAACCCGAUCUCAGUUCGGAUCGCAGGCUGCAACCCGCCUGCGUGAAGUCGGAAUCGCUAGUAAUCGCAGGUCAGCAUACUGCGGUGAAUACGUUCCCGGGCCUUGUACACACCGCCCGUCACACCACGAAAGUUGGUAACACCCGAAGCCGGUGAGGUAACCUAUAAGGAGCCAGCCGUCUAAGGUGGGGCCGAUGAUUGGGGUGAAGUCGUAACAAGGUAGCCGUAUCGGAAGGUGCGGCUGGAUCACCUCCUUUCUAUGGAGA